Molecule: long non-coding RNA, 458 nt
Filed under: Daucus carota (carrot)
Lineage: Eukaryota; Viridiplantae; Streptophyta; Magnoliopsida; Apiales; Apiaceae
Description: long non-coding RNA (DCAR_LNC000555)
Source: RNAcentral
UGAAUACAUCCCUGAGUUUGUGGAUGACAGGGUGAUUAGGAUGGUUGGUGCUGAGAAUGAAGAUCUUGAAGAAGGAGAAAUCCCAGAUGCUGAAGUCUUUGCUGAUGAACUUGCAUAUCACAAUGACAUCUUUCCUGCUGAAGAGUUUGAAAUUGCAAAUCCACAAGACAUUGCUAAUGUUGCUAGGGAUUAUGCUGAGCAAAGGAGAGCUAGGGAGAAGUUAGAAAACCAAAGACGGAUUCGAAGGGAAAGGAGACUUGCCAACUUGCAUAAAGAUGGAGCUGAAUGGGAUGCUGCUAGAUCUGUGUUUGACUUUCCAGAGGUCACUCAAGAUAAUAAUGAUGACGAAGUAAAAGAUAUCUUUGACUCCUUCAGGAACAACUACAAAGAUUUACAUGAUUAUCACGAGGUGUUGAAUGAUAUCAUUUCUACUGUGUCUGUUGCUGUUCUUCCCAGAA